RNAcentral lists this ribosomal RNA (464 nucleotides) under uncultured bacterium. Its description in RNAcentral is "bacterial SSU rRNA". It matches the Rfam family "Bacterial small subunit ribosomal RNA", at positions 1 to 507 of the family's 1533-position model. The record is from RNAcentral.
CAGUAGUCACGUAGUUUGAUCAUGGCUCAAGAACGAACGCUGGCGGCAUGCCUAACACAUGCAAGUCGAACGAGACCUUCGGGUCUAGUGGCGCACGGGUGCGUAACACGUGGGAAUUUGCCUCGGGGUAUGGAAUAACUCAGGGAAACUUGAGCUAAUACCAUAUAAUGUCUUCGGACCAAAGAUUUAUCGCCCUGAGAUAAGCCCGCGUAGGAUUAGCUAGUUGGUGAGGUAAAGGCCUACCAAGGCGACGAUCCAUAGCUGGUCUGAGAGGAUGAUCAGCCACACUGGGACUGAGACACGGCCCAGACCCCUACGGGAGGCAGCAGUGGGGAAUAUUGGACAAUGGGCGAAAGCCUGAUCCAGCAAUGCCGCGUGAGUGAUGAAGGCCUUAGGGUUGUAAAGCUCUUUUACCCGAGAUGAUAAUGACAGUAUCGGGAGAAUAAGCUCCGGCUAACUCCGUG